UUGGCUGUGGGAGCCGCUGAGGAUCUGGACUGGUCUGGCUGCAAGCCGUUACAAUUUACAUGAACAUUUCUUGUCCUCCACCCUCUUGGACCCUCACCACUGCUCUGAAUACCAAAAGAUCUGAUGUAGCCGAACAUGGCGAUCUCGGCAUUUGGGAAGCUAAGGCAACAGCGGGAUGUUGAGUCAAGAUCUCCCUGAGCUAUAUAAGACCUGAGCACAGAGGGUGACAGAAGAUUCAAAGUGAACUCCAGCUUGGAGAGAUGACCUGUAGCAAAUCAGGCAGAGAAGCAGGAGUUUCGAGAGAACCUGGCAGAGAAGCAGGAGUUUCGAGAGCUAAGGGGUGACAACCAACCAGGCAAAGACGGGAGUUUCUAGCCAGGCUCCGCCCUGCUUGCCAAGGUUCUGAAGUCAUGUCCAAAACUUCUGAGGGAUCCGUUCCUGUUGCACAGUGUGGCCCAGACUCUAGUUCUCCUCCAGCUCCAUCUCAAGGCCAGUUCUACCAACAAAGCCAUCGUCUUAAAUAUGCCUCAAGGUUUCCAUCUACAACAUGGGAACAUCACUCAUCCCUUUUAGCACUAAACAGACUACAGAGAAAAAACCAAGCUUGAGAGUGUGUGGGGCUCUCUCCUUCUCUCCGGUGGAGUGAAGAUGGAAGAGUACGGGUGGGUAGCUGGGAAACAUGCGGGAGAAGAAAGUGGGUCGGAACGGGGAUGCUGGGAGGGGCGGGCUUAGGAGUGAGCCGGUUCCUCCCACUCCUUGUUCCACCUGGAGCCCUGGUGGAGGGUAAUCUCUCCACUGAUUGCAGGCAGCCUUGCUCAAACACACUCAGCCAUUCUUGCUGAUUAAACCUGCCGUUCCCACCGCUGUGUGGG
This is a long non-coding RNA of Mastomys coucha (southern multimammate mouse), 872 nucleotides long. RefSeq lists it as uncharacterized. The record is from RefSeq and is a predicted model, not a curated record. Lineage: Eukaryota; Metazoa; Chordata; Mammalia; Rodentia; Muridae. The transcript has 3 exons.